RNAcentral lists this ribosomal RNA (229 nucleotides) under uncultured bacterium. RNAcentral describes it as "partial 16S ribosomal RNA". It matches the Rfam family "Bacterial small subunit ribosomal RNA", at positions 568 to 796 of the family's 1533-position model. The record is from RNAcentral.
CGUGUAGGCGGCUUGGCAAGUCGGAUGUGAAAUCCCGGGGCCCAACCCCGGAACUGCAUUCGAAACUGCCUGGCUAGAGUCCCGGAGAGGAAGGCGGAAUUCCCGGUGUAGAGGUGAAAUUCGUAGAUAUCGGGAGGAACGCCAGUGGCGAAGGCGGCCUUCUGGACGGUGACUGACGCUGAGACGCGAAAGCGUGGGGAGCAAACAGGAUUAGAUACCCUGGUAGUCC